GGAUAAUCUAGCGUGUUUGCUCCUUGCAGAGCACACAGACCACUGCAUGGCCUUUUUAAUAUUGACAGGAUCAUCACAUUGUGACUCCAGCUGCAGAGAUAUGGACACCGAUAUGCUGCACUUGGAAUGUUCAACUACACCUGCAUAGUUACUGCGAUGUGGGACAAUUGAGAAGACCUGCCAAAGAAAGGACCAGGCCAGCCACUGUUUUGUUGUUAAAUCAUAGGUCUUUGUGAAUUUCAACUUGCUUUGG
Long non-coding RNA from Acanthopagrus latus (yellowfin seabream), 253 nucleotides. RefSeq lists it as uncharacterized. NCBI's taxonomy places the organism in Eukaryota, Metazoa, Chordata, Actinopteri, Spariformes, Sparidae. The transcript is spliced from 3 exons. The record is from RefSeq and is a predicted model, not a curated record.